RNAcentral lists this ribosomal RNA (497 nucleotides) under uncultured bacterium. Its description in RNAcentral is "partial 16S ribosomal RNA". It matches the Rfam family "Bacterial small subunit ribosomal RNA", at positions 28 to 507 of the family's 1533-position model. The record is from RNAcentral.
GAUGAACGCUGGCGGCGUGCCUAAUACAUGCAAGUCGAGCGAACAGACGAGGAGCUUGCUCCUCUGACGUUAGCGGCGGACGGGUGAGUAACACGUGGAUAACCUACCUAUAAGACUGGGAUAACUUCGGGAAACCGGGGCUAAUACCGGAUAAUAUAUUGAACCGCAUGGUUCAAUAUUGAAAGACGGUUUUGCUGUCACUUAUAGAUGGAUCCCCGCCGCAUUAGCUAGUUGGUAAGGUAACGGCUUACCACGGCAACGAUGCGUAGCCGACCUGAGAGGGUGAUCGGCCACACUGGAACGGAGACACGGUCCAGACUCCUACGGGAUGCAGCAGUAGGGAAUCUUCCGCAAUGGGCGAAAGCUUGACGGAGCAACGCCGCGUGAGUGAUGAAGGUCUUCGGAUCGUAAAACUCUGUUAUUAGGGAAGAACAAAUGUGUAAGUAACUAUGCACUUCUUGACGGUACCUAGUCAGAAAGCCACGGCUAACUACGUA